UAAGUUGUCUGAACCAAUAAGAAUACAGUGGGCGGUUCGGAGAGGAGGCCCCGGGUUGGCUAUUUAAACGUGUGCUUCGCAGCUUCUUACCAGAUAAUAUCGAGCAACAGCAACGGUAUUACCUUUAAGUGCGAAUUUUGCUUCCUUGAGUGCGUGAGCUUUUUGAUCAGUGGAAGAUGGAUAGAAAGAGUGAGGGCAAGUAUGCUGGUACUGGCGACAAGGCCGAUUUGGACAACCACUCUAAUCAGUGCAACCCUACCAACAAGGAGUAUGCAGGCCACAAGUCUGAAUUUGGGGGCAACAAAGCCGAUGCCGACAACCAUGCCAACCAGUGCAACCCAAAUAACCCAACCCAUAAAGGAAGCAAGUAAGCACUGGUAAUUGUACUUGGAGUUUCACAAUCUUCACCGUUACCAUCAGGCACUCGACGACCAUAUUAAAAAUUAAGAUACUAACUUUCCUGAACUGCUACUCCAUCAACAGCGUUCAGUGAACUUCAAUCUAAAUAAUACAACUAUUGAGAAAUAAACUUAUUAGCUUUAGUGUGAUUAUUGUGUAAAUUCAAGUAGCUGCAACAACCUUUCAUUUUACUGCGUUAAAGUCGAGCUGCCACUAAUUUGCAAAUUUGAAUAUUUUUAAUUUUGAGACUGUAAUUUACUAUCUUGAAUACUUAAUGCAAACAUUAAUGCAAACAUGUAUUUUACCAUCUUUAGUACCUUGUGCAAACAUGUAAUUACCAUCUUUAAUAUGUAAUGCAAACAUGCAAAUUGAUUUAUUAAAGUAAUGUUAUUUA
Molecule: long non-coding RNA, 793 nt
Organism: Macrobrachium nipponense
Lineage: Eukaryota; Metazoa; Arthropoda; Malacostraca; Decapoda; Palaemonidae
Exons: 4
Source: RefSeq, a predicted model, not a curated record